Molecule: long non-coding RNA, 278 nt
Filed under: Brassica rapa (field mustard)
Lineage: Eukaryota; Viridiplantae; Streptophyta; Magnoliopsida; Brassicales; Brassicaceae
Description: long non-coding RNA (BRAP_LNC005726)
Source: RNAcentral
AAAUGCUUACGAAUAUAAUUUACCUUCUGAAUAUCCUCGGCGGCGAUGCUUCCGAAUAUGCCGAUUUAAAGAACACAAAAGAUUACUAAAUUAGUAAAUUUGAUCUAAAAAUGAGAAAGUAAUCAUUAAUUAAAUUAUGGAGCAUUUUAAAGAAAGUAGUUAGCAUCUCUAUUCCCUUUCGACAUUUUCUUUCAUGUUGCAUAAUUCUUCAAUUUGUUUUUGUUUAAUCUUCGGAGUAUUUUAUAUUCAUGCAGAGAUUCAGGAUAAAUUUAAAAAAG